This 304-nucleotide long non-coding RNA is filed under the name Numida meleagris (helmeted guineafowl). RNAcentral describes it as "lncRNA (ENSNMEG00000018851.1)". Lineage: Eukaryota; Metazoa; Chordata; Aves; Galliformes; Numididae. The record is from RNAcentral.
AAGAACUUCUACUGCAGGGGUCAAAAUAAAUCUGUGUUACCAGAUGGAGCAGUUUUAUCUACACUCUACAAGAGAGCAUCUUCAGACCCAGACAGUUCUGCUUCAUUUCAUCAUUAAGCACUACCUGCAAAAUCUUGAAGUGAGGCCACAGUACAUGGAAGCUUGGGUACCACUCAGAAAGGCUUGGCCAUCUUUGGGGGAGCUUGGUCAUGGCCUGUGUGAGGACAUGUGCAGAGGACACAGGCGGCGGUCACCCUCCUGCUCUCUGGAAGUCACCACAUGGAAAGCACAUGGAGACCCUUGA